Molecule: long non-coding RNA, 480 nt
Filed under: Elaeis guineensis (African oil palm)
Lineage: Eukaryota; Viridiplantae; Streptophyta; Magnoliopsida; Arecales; Arecaceae
Description: long non-coding RNA (EGUI_LNC013290)
Source: RNAcentral
UUCAAUUUGGAUGUCUCCAUAUCCGACCAAAGAAUUGGUUUUAGACUUAGAGUUUUUUGGAUCCUUCACUUUCUCUCACACGGGAUUCUCACUCACAGAGUUUUUGGAACCCACCAUAAAAAUAGAAACCUAAGAAAAAAUGAAAGGAAGAAAAAAUCAAGAAGAAGGUAAGAGGGACUUACCUUCGAGUAAGAAAUCAAAAGGAAGCAACUAUCUUCCGAGAACUCUUCACACGGUGGAGAAAAAAGAAAAUCUGUCUAAAGGAGCUUUGGAACAAGAAAAAUGGUAAAGGAAGAAAAAAAUUUCACCAGAGUCAGUAGAGCAAGAAAAAAUAAAAUAAAAGAAGCCACUCCCUUAAAUAGAAAGAUGCACGUCUUUCGAAGGAUGUCAAGUCGGUACAAAUCCAUAAAAUGGACCACACGUCAAGCCUUCAUUAACUCAACAACUAGCCGACGGUCUCCAUAUUUAAUGCAUCCCCUC